UAUUGGUGGUGAGGACAUUGAGAAAGUAGUAACUUAAAGCACUCCUAUGCUUCAUGUAUUAGCUUUCCAUCCAUUUAUGAAAAUGUCCAAAUCUUGUUCCUUAAAUC
Small nucleolar RNA from Coffea arabica (coffee), 107 nucleotides. NCBI's taxonomy places the organism in Eukaryota, Viridiplantae, Streptophyta, Magnoliopsida, Gentianales, Rubiaceae. The record is from RefSeq and is a predicted model, not a curated record.